CUGACAUCCCACAGCAGCUUGUCUUCUCCAGAGCCUUCCUUGAAAUCGGCAGCUGUCCUCGUCUUUCUGUGUGUUUCCCACACCCCAGAGAGGCCUGGCAUGGAGCAGUGGCUCUCGUGGCUGCCUGCACAUCGGAGCACCCCGACAUACGGUGGGAAGACUGCCUGGCCCAUGCUCCAAUCCCUGGCAAGUCCCGGCUGCUGCCGCCGCCCUGGUGACCACACUUGGAGUGUCACUGGGGCGGAGGAAGCCCAGGGCAGGACUGGCGGUUAGAUAGGUGAAGGGUGGAUGGAGGCCUCUUCAGCUCUACUGGAUAAUGCCACGGCUCAGCUCUCUCAUCCUCAAAUGCAGGCUACUCACCAUUGGGGUUAUAAGGACUGCAGGGCACAGGAGAGGUCAGAACUCUCCCGCCACCCGCCUCUUUCCACAGAUGUCUGCUGAGCAAACACUGUGCUCCCUCUCCCACAUCCCCAGGCUCCGGGGCCCAUGGGCAGCAUGGAUCAUUCCACCCUCUUGAGGGACAGGCUGUCCUCUGCGCAUGGACGGAAGGGUAGCAUGGGAGGGGCCCAGUCAGGGCCCCCGACAAUUCUUAGCCCCAAAGGAGGAGACCUCAGGAGCCUAGUUUUCCCUGCUGAUUGUGGAACUCCUUCAACUCCAUCCACAGUGACUACAGGCAGGAAGCCGUAGGUAAGAGCAGCACCCUGGAGCCUCAACAGGUAGUCCACUCCGUCUCACUCGGGAUGAGACUCACGCUGGCCAGUUCCGCUCUGUGUCUAUGCUCGUCAGGCGCUGAGUCAGGUCAACUGCACAUCCUGAUAGCGCCGGAGCAAAAUGACCCUUCUCAGACUUAAGAACGGGAAGAGACGAGGCCACAGCUUGGAAACUCUGCAGAGACCUGUGGAGCGCUUCCUUCAGGAGGUGAUUCCGAGUCGAGUCUGGUCUGGAAUGAGAGUAAACACUCUACGAGCUGUGUUCUCUCUCAUCACCUGGAAGAAACAAAAGCAGAAGCCGGGCUGUUUGGGAAGAGCAAAGGAACCAGCAGGGGGAGAAGAGGGAAUAUGUGAGGGCUCUAUAUUAUUGGGAGGAGCCAUCUGUCUUAUUUACUCUACACGGCAUCUCAGUGUGUUGACUCUCCUGACCGCCAACACCACUUUCUUGUCGUUAAGGUCCAUCAGCCAGUCAGACGGAAAACCUCCAACAUGUGAGGCAAGAAGGUGGAGAUCCCCUGAAACAAGGAUUAAACUGGCUCCAAGGAACCUUUUGACCCUAACCAGCAGGAAGCAGCUAAGAGAACUGCAGCCCCUCUCCCACUAAC
Meriones unguiculatus (Mongolian gerbil) is the source of this 1315-nucleotide long non-coding RNA. RefSeq lists it as uncharacterized. The transcript is spliced from 4 exons. The record is from RefSeq and is a predicted model, not a curated record. NCBI's taxonomy places the organism in Eukaryota, Metazoa, Chordata, Mammalia, Rodentia, Muridae.